Thermoanaerobacter pseudethanolicus ATCC 33223 is the source of this 173-nucleotide non-coding RNA. Lineage: Bacteria; Bacillati; Bacillota; Clostridia; Thermoanaerobacterales; Thermoanaerobacteraceae. The record is from Rfam.
UCCAUCGUGAGGUGGAAUCUGAAGGAAGCUUAAGGCAAAAUCUCGGUCUGAUGAACAAGAACCAGAUAAGAGGCUGAAUUGGGAUGGAUGAGUUUGCGUAACAAAACGAAGUCCAACACUACCCGAAUCCCAUACAGUAAAUCUGGCAGAUAUAUGAGAUGAAAGUUAUCGUU